GAGGUUUAUUUCAUUCCUUAAGGCUGAAUAAAUAAAACAAUGCUUGCCUUGAAGGGUGAAGAUGAAAAGCAUCCUUUCACCAUGACUCACCUGAUGGGUUUUGCUUACAUAUUCAAUACAUCAAGAAGCAUAUUGGAAAACCAGCUGAACAGCUACAGCAAAGAGGUGCAACACAUGAUGAGAAGUAAGUGUGGGACUAAUAUGAAGCAGAUCGUGGAGGAAGUACAAAGUAUCUGCAGUUUCCUGAGCAACGUGUCAUCCAGAGAAGUGGAGGAUGGCAUUGCUGAAAUCCAGCGAGUCAUACCUCUGAACCCGGAUCCCUCUGAGUGUGAGACAAGGGUCCUGGAGCUCCAUCAGGCCUUGCGCAAGCUGCUGCACACCUUCUUCUCAAAUUUCGAGUCUGACUUUGGCAGCGAGGAGGUGCUCCCCACUCGACCCAAGGCCAACGUGAGCCAUCACGAGGAUGUGCUCCAGCUGGACCUUGCCGCGCUCUACAGGGUGAAGUCAACCUGGCUCAGCAGCUUUGAUUUCUUCUCCAUUUCCUGCAAGCUGACGUACGGCUCCCAGGAGCUGUGUGAGACGGCACUCUCGGAGAACAUCGCCACAGCCUUGUCUCUGGGCAACAAGCUGCAGUGCAGCAGAAUGUGAGACCAUCUGAUGUUCUUCCCUGCAUUUGAAGUUCAUCUCACCUUUCAUGUGAUCC
RNAcentral lists this long non-coding RNA (703 nucleotides) under Scleropages formosus (Asian bonytongue). RNAcentral's name for it is "lncRNA (ENSSFOG00015025819.1)". Lineage: Eukaryota; Metazoa; Chordata; Actinopteri; Osteoglossiformes; Osteoglossidae. The record is from RNAcentral.